UACGUAGGGCGCAAGCGUUGUCCGGAAUUAUUGGGCGUAAAGAGCUUGUAGGUGGUUUGUCGCGUCUGCUGUGAAAAUCCGAGGCUCAACCUCGGACUUGCAGUGGGUACGGGCAGACUAGAGUGUGGUAGGGGAGACUGGAAUUCCUGGUGUAGCGGUGGAAUGCGCAGAUAUCAGGAGGAACACCGGUGGCGAAGGCGGCAUCCUGGACCGGCAUUGACGCUGAGGCGCGAAAGCCAGGGGAGCAAACGGG
Molecule: ribosomal RNA, 253 nt
Filed under: uncultured bacterium
Lineage: Bacteria
Description: partial 16S ribosomal RNA
Rfam family: Bacterial small subunit ribosomal RNA
Source: RNAcentral